UCUGCUGCCCUUGAAUCCCCUCUCUUCUCAAACUCUCUCUGAAACCUAAAGCUAACCCUAGCCACCGCCACCUAAACUAACCCUAAUCCCCUUCGAUUCUCACUCAACUCAUCGGCUCUAACGGUUGUUUGAGAUAUAUACAUGUCUCAUAUGUCUCCUGGUUGCAUGUUCUCGUGAUAUCAUGGAAAAAUGUCAAAGAGAUCUAGUCCAGUCUUUGUUCAACUUCUAUCUAUGGUCUUUUCCCGGCCAUCCAUGGCCGUUCGAGUCAUAUCUAUUGCUUUCUGACUACAUCGGUAACUUUUCGAAGUCUUUCUCAUUUUUCCCGGUUCUCUGAAACAGUAACCUUAAAGGCUUUCCAAUUUCCCUUCAGAUCUGUCACAGAUCUAUGUUUGUUUUGAACCUCGUAAGUGUUUUCCUUAAAGGUUUUUUUUAUUUUUCAAAGCAACUCUCUGGCUUCAACGAUUAGGGUUCUCUCAAC
RNAcentral lists this long non-coding RNA (478 nucleotides) under Nicotiana benthamiana. RNAcentral describes it as "long non-coding RNA (NBEN_LNC008975)". The record is from RNAcentral. Lineage: Eukaryota; Viridiplantae; Streptophyta; Magnoliopsida; Solanales; Solanaceae.